GAUGAACGCUAGCGGCAGGCUUAACACAUGCAAGUCGAGGGGUAUAGGUUUUCGGACCUAGAGGCCGGCGCACGGGUGCGUAACGCGUAUGCAAUCUACCUUUUGCAGAGGGAUAGCCCAGAGAAAUUUGGAUUAAUACCUCAUAGUAUAACACAAUCGCAUGAUUGAGUUAUUAAAGUCACAACGGCAAAAGAUGAGCAUGCGUCCCAUUAGCUAGAUGGUAAGGUAACGGCUUACCAUGGCUACGAUGGGUAGGGGUCCUGAGAGGGAGAUCCCCCACACUGGUACUGAGACACGGACCAGACUCCUACGGGAGGCAGCAGUGAGGAAUAUUGGUCAAUGGACGCAAGUCUGAACCAGCCAUGCCGCGUGCAGGAUGACGGUCCUAUGGAUUGUAAACUGCUUUUGUACAGGAAGAAACACUCCUUCGUGAAGGAACUUGACGGUACUGUAAGAAUAAGGAUCGGCUAACUCCGUGCCAGCCGCCGCCGUAA
RNAcentral lists this ribosomal RNA (494 nucleotides) under uncultured bacterium. RNAcentral's name for it is "partial 16S ribosomal RNA". It matches the Rfam family "Bacterial small subunit ribosomal RNA", at positions 28 to 523 of the family's 1533-position model. The record is from RNAcentral.